Molecule: long non-coding RNA, 595 nt
Filed under: Sus scrofa (pig)
Lineage: Eukaryota; Metazoa; Chordata; Mammalia; Artiodactyla; Suidae
Description: lncRNA (ENSSSCG00070025346.1)
Source: RNAcentral
AAUAUCCUGAGGAACUGGGGGAGGAGCCACCCAGCAUCAGGUCAAAUGUGGCAGCUCCUUCUACCACCAUGGUCCUCGUGGAUGAGGGAACUGAUGAAAACGGUGUGUGUACAGAAAUCAUCACCCCAGUGACGAACAGUCAGGGUGAGAAGAAGAAGCUCCCCUACCCCAGGAACCACUGGAAGAAUUGCCUGCCUUUGAGGGAGAAGAAGAGGCUCUGUCUGACACUGAGCUUUGCUGGAGACGAAGUGGAGAUGCACCUGCUUUGGGGAGGUGGCUGGCGAGAAAGAGAGCGAAUGCGGGCCCCGCCCCGUGAGGCAAAGCUCACUUCCUGAUGGAGGAUGGGGCUGUGUGGCCUGAUUCUCUGUGGAGCUCCUGAGUCGAUGCCUCCCACCCAAAAAAUCACAGGUUAAAAGGUAAGAAAGAGGAUAACGGAAGUAGCCCGUGUGUAUCUAUUAAAAUAAUUAGCGCUGUUGCCCAAACUCAGCAUUUGCCCACGGGUGCCAAAUAGAAACAAGGAGACAAGAGUCUUGGGUGUAGAAGGAAAAAGAUAUCUUUUAUUGCUUUGCCGGGUAAAGGAGGCCACAGCAGGCUC